This 1017-nucleotide ribosomal RNA is filed under the name uncultured organism. RNAcentral describes it as "bacterial SSU rRNA". It matches the Rfam family "Bacterial small subunit ribosomal RNA", at positions 356 to 1376 of the family's 1533-position model. The record is from RNAcentral.
GAGGAAUAUUGGUCAAUGGACGAGAGUCUGAACCAGCCAAGUAGCGUGAAGGAUGACUGCCCUAUGGGUUGUAAACUUCUUUUAUACGGGAAUAAAGUGAGGCACGUGUGCCUUUUUGUAUGUACCGUAUGAAUAAGGAUCGGCUAACUCCGUGCCAGCAGCCGCGGUAAUACGGAGGAUCCGAGCGUUAUCCGGAUUUAUUGGGUUUAAAGGGAGCGUAGGCGGACGCUUAAGUCAGUUGUGAAAGUUUGCGGCUCAACCGUAAAAUUGCAGUUGAUACUGGGUGUCUUGAGUACAGUAGAGGCAGGCGGAAUUCGUGGUGUAGCGGUGAAAUGCUUAGAUAUCACGAAGAACUCCGAUUGCGAAGGCAGCUUGCUGGACUGUAACUGACGCUGAUGCUCGAAAGUGUGGGUAUCAAACAGGAUUAGAUACCCUGGUAGUCCACACAGUAAACGAUGAAUACUCGCUGUUUGCGAUAUACAGUAAGCGGCCAAGCGAAAGCGUUAAGUAUUCCACCUGGGGAGUACGCCGGCAACGGUGAAACUCAAAGGAAUUGACGGGGGCCCGCACAAGCGGAGGAACAUGUGGUUUAAUUCGAUGAUACGCGAGGAACCUUACCCGGGCUUGAAUUGCAACUGAAUGAUGUGUAGACAUGUCAGCCGCAAGGCAGUUGUGAAGGUGCUGCAUGGUUGUCGUCAGCUCGUGCCGUGAGGUGUCGGCUUAAGUGCCAUAACGAGCGCAACCCUUAUCGAUAGUUACCAUCAGGUUAUGCUGGGGACUCUGUCGAGACUGCCGUCGUAAGAUGUGAGGAAGGUGGGGAUGACGUCAAAUCAGCACGGCCCUUACGUCCGGGGCUACACACGUGUUACAAUGGGGGGUACAGAAGGCAGCUACACGGCGACGUGAUGCUAAUCCCGAAAGCCUCUCUCAGUUCGGAUUGGAGUCUGCAACCCGACUCCAUGAAGCUGGAUUCGCUAGUAAUCGCGCAUCAGCCACGGCGCGGUGAAUACGUUCCCG